This 326-nucleotide long non-coding RNA is filed under the name Citrus x clementina. RNAcentral's name for it is "Citrus clementina (C. clementina) long non-coding RNA (CCLE_LNC006583)". Lineage: Eukaryota; Viridiplantae; Streptophyta; Magnoliopsida; Sapindales; Rutaceae. The record is from RNAcentral.
CGUCUGGAGGCUGGCAACGGGUGAGCCGCUCCGGGUCGUAUCAAAACGGUUCGGUCUGGGGAUAUCCACUUGUCACAAGCUGGUCUUGGAGGUUUGCUCGGCGAUCAAAACUGUGUUAAUGCCCAAGUUCCUACAGUGGCCUGAUGAGCUGAAAAUGAAACAAAUUAAGGAAGAGUUCCAGGGUAUUUCAGGGAUACCAAAUGUUGGUGGGUCAAUGUACACGACUCACAUACCAAUCAUAGCGCCUAAGAUUAGCGUUGCUUCGUAUUUCAACAAAAGGCACACUGAGAGAAACCAGAAGACUUCUUAUUCCAUCACAGUACAAG